Apodemus sylvaticus (European woodmouse) is the source of this 621-nucleotide non-coding RNA. Lineage: Eukaryota; Metazoa; Chordata; Mammalia; Rodentia; Muridae. The record is from the annotation of a RefSeq genome assembly.
UCUGCUGGAUCCACCCAACCUCGGGUUGAAAAGUCAAAGCUGGACCUGUGUACUCACUAGUGUGCAGCCAUGGACAGGCUUACUUCCUCAUUCCUGCUGCUGAUUGUCCCUGCAUAUGUCCUGUCCCAGGUUACUCUGAAAGAGUCUGGCCCUGGGAUAUUGCAGCCCUCACAGACCCUCAGUCUGACUUGCUCUUUCUCUGGGUUUUCGCUGAGCACUACUAAUAUGGGUGUGGGCUGGAUCCGUCAGCCCUCAGGGAAGGGUCUGGAGUGGCUGGCAACCAUUUGGUGGGAUGAUGAUAAGGGCUAUAACCCAUCACUGAAGAGUCGGCUUACAAUCUCUAAGGACACCUCCAACAACCAGGUAUUCCUCAAGCUGGCCAGUGUGGACACUUCAGAUACUGCCACAUACUACUGUGCUCGGAGAACACAUUGAAACAGUCUCAGUUUUCAGCUGUACGUUAUUUCAGGCUGGUUCUCAGCACUGUUUUUUCUAUUAUAUCAGAAGAGUGUACAGCUACAGCUUUCCUGCUGGCCUCUGUGGUUUCCUGUUUGCUCUUAAAUUAAGAGCUUUCUAUUCCUUUUCUUCACCCUAGGUUCCUAUUAUAAUGUUCAUAAAUGA